GAUGAACGCUGGCGGUCUGCUUAACACAUGCAAGUCGAACGGGCUCUUUCGGGUGCUUGUGGCGGACGGGGGAGUAACGCGGGAUAAUCCGCCCUUAGGAGGGGGAUAACGGUUGGAAACGACCGCUAAAACCCCAUGUGCCGUGAGGUAAAAAGUAUUUCGCCAAGGGAUGGGCGCGCGUCGGAUUAGCUAGUUGGUGGGGUAAGAGCCCAUCAAGGCGACGAUCCGUAGCUGGUCUGAGAGGAUGACCAGCCACACUGGGACUGAGACACGGCCCAGACUUCUGCGGGAGGCAGCAGGGGGGAAUUUUCCGCAAUGGGCGCGAGCCUGACGGAGCAAGACCGCGUGAGGGAAGACGGUCUGUGGAUUGUAAACCUCUUUUGACAGGGAAGAAGUACUGACGGUACCUGUCGAAUCAGCCUCGGCUAACUCCGUG
RNAcentral lists this ribosomal RNA (436 nucleotides) under uncultured bacterium. RNAcentral describes it as "partial 16S ribosomal RNA". It matches the Rfam family "Bacterial small subunit ribosomal RNA", at positions 28 to 507 of the family's 1533-position model. The record is from RNAcentral.